RNAcentral lists this small nuclear RNA (107 nucleotides) under Capra hircus (goat). The record is from RNAcentral. Lineage: Eukaryota; Metazoa; Chordata; Mammalia; Artiodactyla; Bovidae.
GUGCUUGCUUCGGCAGCACAUAUACUAAAAUUGGAACGAUAUGGAGAAGAUUAGCAUGGUCCCUGCGAAAGGAUGACAAGCAAAUUCAUGAAGUGUUCCAUAUUAAA